GUCGGCUACGGCGACAUGCACCCGAUAACCAUCGGCGGGAAAAUCGUCGGAUCGCUCUGCGCCAUCGCCGGCGUGCUGACCAUCGCCUUGCCCGUCCCCGUCAUCGUGUCCAAC
Salmo salar (Atlantic salmon) is the source of this 114-nucleotide non-coding RNA. The record is from Rfam. Lineage: Eukaryota; Metazoa; Chordata; Actinopteri; Salmoniformes; Salmonidae.